This 63-nucleotide transfer RNA is filed under the name Isometopus sp. RNAcentral's name for it is "tRNA-Pro". The record is from RNAcentral. Lineage: Eukaryota; Metazoa; Arthropoda; Insecta; Hemiptera; Miridae.
CAGUGGGUAUUUUAAUUAAAAUAUUGGUUUUGGGGACUAAUGAUGGGAUUUUCUCUUCGCUGA